This 466-nucleotide ribosomal RNA is filed under the name uncultured bacterium. Its description in RNAcentral is "partial 16S ribosomal RNA". It matches the Rfam family "Bacterial small subunit ribosomal RNA", at positions 28 to 507 of the family's 1533-position model. The record is from RNAcentral.
GAUGAACGCUGGCGGCGUGCUUAACACAUGCAAGUCGAACGAUGAAGCCCAGCUUGCUGGGUGGAUUAGUGGCGAACGGGUGAGUAACACGUGAGUAACCUGCCCUUGACUCUGGGAUAAGCGCUGGAAACGGCGUCUAAUACCGGAUACGAGCUUCCACCGCAUGGUGAGUUGCUGGAAAGAAUUUCGGUCAAGGAUGGACUCGCGGCCUAUCAGGUAGUUGGUGAGGUAACGGCUCACCAAGCCGACGACGGGUAGCCGGCCUGAGAGGGUGACCGGCCACACUGGGACUGAGACACGGCUCAGACUCCUACGGGAGGCAGCAGUGGGGAAUAUUGCACAAUGGGCGCAAGCCUGAUGCAGCAACGCCGCGUGAGGGACGAAGGCCUUCGGGUCGUAAACCUCUUUUAGCAGGGAAGAAGCGAAAGUGACGGUACCUGCAGAAAAAGCACCGGCUAACUACGUG